RNAcentral lists this transfer RNA (68 nucleotides) under Opisthoteuthis californiana. RNAcentral describes it as "tRNA-Lys". It matches the Rfam family "tRNA". From Rfam's summary of the family: Transfer RNA (tRNA) molecules are approximately 80 nucleotides in length. Their secondary structure includes four short double-helical elements and three loops (D, anti-codon, and T loops). The record is from RNAcentral. Lineage: Eukaryota; Metazoa; Mollusca; Cephalopoda; Octopoda; Opisthoteuthidae.
UAUUAAGUGGCCGAAAAAAGCACUAAACUUUUAAUUUAGAUAAUGAUUAUUCUACUAAUCCUUAAUAG